RNA transcript from Prosopis cineraria, 3652 nucleotides. It is a transcript of the gene named alanine--tRNA ligase, with no coding region annotated. The record is from RefSeq and is a predicted model, not a curated record. The transcript has 24 exons. NCBI's taxonomy places the organism in Eukaryota, Viridiplantae, Streptophyta, Magnoliopsida, Fabales, Fabaceae.
AAUUCACGGUCUGCGUUAUAGCCAGGUCGCCACAUGGAUGACACGAUUCUUCGGCCGGAACGGAUCGGGAGCUCUGCUCUUUACUAUCCCUAAUCCUCUCUUUCCUCUCCGGGCUCCCUCUCCGGCCGUCUCGGAGCCGCCAUUCCGUUUCGUCCCAUUCACUUCUAAGCCGCCGCUUGCUUGGUUCAUCAACACUUCUCUUCUGCACACGCCAUUGUUUCGCCCCUUAUCCUCCUCCUCCUCCUUCGCCGCCACCAUGCCUGGAACUGGGACUACGGGAGUGGAGUGGCCAGCGAAGCGGGUCAGGGACACAUUCAUCAAGUUCUUCGAGGAGAAGAAUCACGUCAACUGGAAGUCUAGCCCUGUUGUUCCCCUCAAUGACCCAACCCUUCUCUUUGCGAAUGCUGGCAUGAACCAAUUCAAGCCAAUCUUUUUGGGAACUGUGGAUCCUAAUACUGGCUUGAGCAAACUCACUCGUGCUUGCAAUACCCAAAAGUGCAUACGAGCUGGUGGCAAACAUAAUGAUCUCGAUGAUGUAGGAAAAGAUACUUACCAUCAUACCUUCUUUGAGAUGUUGGGCAAUUGGUCGUUUGGUGAUUACUUCAAAGAAGAAGCCAUUGGGUGGGCAUGGGAACUUCUGACAAAGGUUUAUAAAUUACCAACAGGUCAUCUUUAUGCGACAUAUUUUGGUGGUGAUGUUAAGUCUGGUCUUGCUCCUGAUAUUGAAGCUAGAGAUAUUUGGCUUAAGUUUUUGCCAGCUGGGCAUGUUCUUCCUUUUGGUAGUAAAGACAAUUUCUGGGAGAUGGGUGAUACUGGUCCUUGUGGACCUUGCACUGAGAUACAUUAUGACAGAAUAGGUAACCGUGAUGCGGCAUCCUUGGUCAAUAAUGAUGACCCUACAUGCAUUGAGAUUUGGAAUCUUGUGUUUAUUCAGUACAAUAGGGAGGCUGAUGGGUCUCUUAAACCUCUGCCCGCAAAACAUGUUGAUACAGGCAUGGGAUUUGAAAGAUUGACCUCCGUACUUCAGAAUAAAAUGAGCAAUUAUGACACUGAUGUCUUCUUGCCUGUCUUUGAUGCCAUUCAGCAGGCAACUGGUGCUCGGCCCUAUUCUGGAAAAGUUGGACCUGAUGAUGUUGACAAGGUUGACAUGGCAUACAGGGUUGUUGCAGAUCACAUCAGAACUCUGUCAUUUGCCAUUGCUGAUGGAUCUCGCCCUGGUAAUGAGGGUCGUGAGUAUGUCCUUAGGCGUAUACUCCGUCGAGCUGUUCGAUAUGGACGUGAAGUCUUAAAUGCUAGAGAUGGGUUUUUCAAUGGGCUUGUAAGUACUGUGGUCAAUGUAAUGGAUGAUGUUUUUCCGGAGCUAAAACACCAUGAAGUGCUUAUCAAGGAUGUCAUUAAGGAGGAGGAGGAAAGUUUUGGGAGAACCUUAAUUAAGGGGAUUGAGAAAUUUGAGAUGGCUGUUCGACAUGUUCAGGGAAAAAUAUUGAGUGGGCAGGAAGCCUUUAUCUUGUGGGAUACAUAUGGGUUCCCAUUGGAUCUCACUCAGCUGAUGGCGGAGGAAAAGGGUUUACUUGUUGAUGUUGAGGGUUUCAAUCUUGCCAUGGAAGAAGCAAGAGAGAGGUCACGAAAUGCUCAAACAAAGCAAGCUGGUGGUGUUAUUGUCAUGGAUGCUGAUGCUACUUCAGCAUUGCACAAAAGGGGCAUUUCUCCAACCGAUGAUAGCUUCAAGUUUGUUUGGUUCAAGAAUCAUGAGACUGUGGUGAGAGCAAUAUAUACAGGUUCUGAGUUCUUAGAUGCCGUUGACACUAAUGGUGAUGUUGGUGUUGUUCUGGAAUCUACAAGCUUUUAUGCUGAGCAAGGUGGUCAGAUUUUUGAUACAGGAUCACUUGAGGGUCCUCUUGCCAAAUUUCAAGUUAGUAAUGUGCAAGUUUAUGGAGGUUUUGUUCUUCACAUUGGGUCUUUGUGGGGAAUGACUGGCAGAAUCUCGGUUGGUGAUAAAGUAGCAUGCAAGGUUGAUUAUGAGAGGCGUGCCCUUAUAGCCCCUAACCAUACCUGCACACAUAUGUUGAACUUUGCUCUUCGGGAAGUACUUGGUAAUCAUGUUGACCAAAAAGGAUCUAUUGUUCUUCCUGAAAAAUUGAGAUUUGAUUUUUCUCAUGGCAACCCAGUUGAAGCUGACAAGUUGAGGAAAAUUGAAUCAAUUGUGAAUGAGCAAAUAGAAGCUGAAUUAGAUGUAUAUUCAAAGGAGGCAACUCUCAUUGAUGCCAAGCGUAUCAAUGGUUUACGAGCUGUUUUUGGCGAAGUCUACCCUGACCCAGUUAGGGUUGUGGCAAUUGGACAAAAAGUUGAGGAUCUCUUAGCUGAUCCAGAGAACGAAAAAUGGUUAUCUAUUUCAGCAGAAUUAUGCGGAGGGACCCACAUAUCGAAUACCCGAGAGGCUAAAGCUUUUGCACUUCUAUCUGAGGAGGGAAUUGCAAAAGGAACACGCAGGAUAAUAGCUGUCACAACUGGUUAUGCAUAUGACGCUAUGAAAUUGGCCAAUGAACUUGAGCAGGAGGUAGAUGAUGCAGCUAAGAUAGAAGGAAGUGCACUAGAAGAGAAAGUUUCUUAUCUGAAAAACCGUGUCGAAUCAAUAUCAAUACCUGCUGCUAAGAAAGCUGAUAUAAAGACCAAGAUUGCCCGACUUCAGGAUCAAGUGAGGAAAGCACAAAAGCAGAUUGCGGAGGAAAACAAACGGAAAGCUGUAAAGUUGACGACUGAGAAGGCUGAACUUGCUGCUUCAGAUGGAAAAUCUUUUUGCAUUUCUCGUGUUGAUGUUGGUCUGGAUGUAGUUGCAGUUCGAGAGGCGGUUGCAAAAGUCAUGGAGCAGAAGGAUUUAUCUGUGAUGGUUUUUAGCAUCGAUGAAACUACAAACAAGGCUGUGGUUUGUGCUGGGGUACCGGAGAAAGGGAAUAAAAGCAAGCUGGAUGUGUCGGAUUGGCUGAGUAAUGCUUUGGGACCUUUAAAAGGAAGGUGUGGCAGAGGAAAAGGUGGCCUUGCAACAGGACAGGUGUUACCUCAAUAGCUUCAGCGGCGGACUUGGACGAUUGAACUAGUGUCAGUUGAGAUGCUGUACUUCUAUUUGGCGACAUAUUGUGUUAUGAAGACGUUUGGUGUGGAUGCGUCACACAUAAAUGAGGCCAUGGAUCUAGCUGCGACAUUUGCGUCGAUGAAAUUGAGCUAAUCGAUCGUAUUGCUCUCUUCCUCUGGCUAAAGCAAUAUUUCAAAAGCUCUUGACACUUUUUUUAGGCUCAAUUGGCACAUAUAUAUACUGCCUAUUGGACUUUCCGUUGCAUAUUUUCUUGAAUUGUUGACCUUUUAUUGUGGGGGAAAUCUGAUAUAGUAUUUUUGUACGUAUAAAGAAAUCACAAACACGUUGAUCCGCCAGGUAGAUCUCAAUAUACUCUGAAAAUCGCCUAGCUGUCCUGUCAUUUUGUAGAGGCAUAAUCUUUUGUCGUGUCUGCUUGUGCAUCCUUGUACGUUUUUCAUUAAACUUGUAAUUGUUCAAUCAGCAUGACACAAGCAGCACUUAUUCUAUUACAUGUAACCUUAAAUUUACGUGGUUUUUGUACUUACGCUAAUAAUCAUGUUAUACAAUUUUUUUCCUCCUCAA